AAAGAAAGCCCUUCUUGUCCUAAAACAAACAAUAUAUAAUUUGUAUGGGAGACGUAAAUGAGAGAGAGGAAAAUUACAGCUAAACACAAACACCACAAAAGUGUUAAAACAGCCUUGGUCCUUAACGGACAACAGCACAAAAACAGGCUGGUCCUUAAGGGGUUAAUGAAGCAGUUUUGGUGUAUAGAUCAUGUCCCUGCUAUC
Non-coding RNA from Pelobates cultripes (western spadefoot toad), 204 nucleotides. Lineage: Eukaryota; Metazoa; Chordata; Amphibia; Anura; Pelobatidae. The record is from the annotation of a GenBank genome assembly.